CUCGUAGGCGGCUUGUCGCGUCUGCUGUGAAAUCCUGGGGCUUAACUCUGGGCGUGCAGUGGGUACGGGCAGGCUAGAGUGCGGUAGGGGUGAUUGGAAUUCCCGGUGUAACGGUGGAAUGUGUAGAUAUCGGGAAGAACACCAAUGGCGAAGGCAGGUCUCUGGGCCGUUACUGACGCUGAGGAGCGAAAGCGUGGGGAGCGAACA
This 207-nucleotide ribosomal RNA is filed under the name uncultured bacterium. RNAcentral's name for it is "partial 16S ribosomal RNA". It matches the Rfam family "Bacterial small subunit ribosomal RNA", at positions 568 to 774 of the family's 1533-position model. The record is from RNAcentral.